RNAcentral lists this transfer RNA (76 nucleotides) under Marmota monax (woodchuck). RNAcentral's name for it is "tRNA.Ala". Lineage: Eukaryota; Metazoa; Chordata; Mammalia; Rodentia; Sciuridae. The record is from RNAcentral.
GUAGUUAUAGCUCAGUUGGUAGAGUGCUUCCCUAGCAAGCACGUGUGAGGCACUGAGUUCGAACCUCAGCACCACG